UACAGAGGGGGCAAGCGUUGUUCGGAAUUACUGGGCGUAAAGGGCGCGUAGGCGGCCUGCUAAGUCGAACGUGAAAUCCCCGGGCUCAACCCGGGAACUGCGUCCGAAACUGGCGGGCUCGAAUUCGGGAGAGGGAUGCGGAAUUCCAGGUGUAGCGGUGAAAUGCGUAGAUAUCUGGAGGAACAUCGGUGGCGAAGGCGGCAUCCUGGACCGAUAUUGACGCUGAGGCGCGAAAGCCAGGGGAGCAAACGGG
This 253-nucleotide ribosomal RNA is filed under the name uncultured bacterium. RNAcentral describes it as "partial 16S ribosomal RNA". It matches the Rfam family "Bacterial small subunit ribosomal RNA", at positions 524 to 776 of the family's 1533-position model. The record is from RNAcentral.